GGGUUGUGAGGUUAAGCGACUAAGCGUACACGGUGGAUGCCCUGGCAGUCAGAGGCGAUGAAGGACGUGCUAAUCUGCGAUAAGCGUCGGUAAGGUGAUAUGAACCGUUAUAACCGGCGAUUUCCGAAUGGGGAAACCCAGUGUGAUUCGUCACACUAUCAUUAACUGAAUCCAUAGGUUAAUGAGGCGAACCGGGGGAACUGAAACAUCUAAGUACCCCGAGGAAAAGAAAUCAACCGAGAUUCCCCCAGUAGCGGCGAGCGAACGGGGAGGAGCCCAGAGCCUGAAUCAGUAUGUGUGUUAGUGGAAGCGUCUGGAAAGGCGCGCGAUACAGGGUGACAGCCCCGUACACAAAAAUGCACAUGCUGUGAGCUCGAUGAGUAGGGCGGGACACGUGGUAUCCUGUCUGAAUAUGGGGGGACCAUCCUCCAAGGCUAAAUACUCCUGACUGACCGAUAGUGAACCAGUACCGUGAGGGAAAGGCGAAAAGAACCCCGGCGAGGGGAGUGAAAAAGAACCUGAAACCGUGUACGUACAAGCAGUGGGAGCACAGGCUCUGUGUGACUGCGUACCUUUUGUAUAAUGGGUCAGCGACUUAUAUUCUGUAGCAAGGUUAACCGAAUAGGGGAGCCGAAGGGAAACCGAGUCUUAACUGGGCGUUAAGUUGCAGGGUAUAGACCCGAAACCCGGUGAUCUAGCCAUGGGCAGGUUGAAGGUUGGGUAACACUAACUGGAGGACCGAACCGACUAAUGUUGAAAAAUUAGCGGAUGACUUGUGGCUGGGGGUGAAAGGCCAAUCAAACCGGGAGAUAGCUGGUUCUCCCCGAAAGCUAUUUAGGUAGCGCCUCGUGAAUUCAUCUCCGGGGGUAGAGCACUGUUUCGGCAAGGGGGUCAUCCCGACUUACCAACCCGAUGCAAACUGCGAAUACCGGAGAAUGUUAUCACGGGAGACACACGGCGGGUGCUAACGUCCGUCGUGAAGAGGGAAACAACCCAGACCGCCAGCUAAGGUCCCAAAGUCAUGGUUAAGUGGGAAACGAUGUGGGAAGGCCCAGACAGCCAGGAUGUUGGCUUAGAAGCAGCCAUCAUUUAAAGAAAGCGUAAUAGCUCACUGGUCGAGUCGGCCUGCGCGGAAGAUGUAACGGGGCUAAACCAUGCACCGAAGCUGCGGCAGCGACGCUUAUGCGUUGUUGGGUAGGGGAGCGUUCUGUAAGCCUGUGAAGGUGUGCUGUGAGGCAUGCUGGAGGUAUCAGAAGUGCGAAUGCUGACAUAAGUAACGAUAAAGCGGGUGAAAAGCCCGCUCGCCGGAAGACCAAGGGUUCCUGUCCAACGUUAAUCGGGGCAGGGUGAGUCGACCCCUAAGGCGAGGCCGAAAGGCGUAGUCGAUGGGAAACAGGUUAAUAUUCCUGUACUUGGUGUUACUGCGAAGGGGGGACGGAGAAGGCUAUGUUGGCCGGGCGACGGUUGUCCCGGUUUAAGCGUGUAGGCUGGUUUUCCAGGCAAAUCCGGAAAAUCAAGGCUGAGGCGUGAUGACGAGGCACUACGGUGCUGAAGCAACAAAUGCCCUGCUUCCAGGAAAAGCCUCUAAGCAUCAGGUAACAUCAAAUCGUACCCCAAACCGACACAGGUGGUCAGGUAGAGAAUACCAAGGCGCUUGAGAGAACUCGGGUGAAGGAACUAGGCAAAAUGGUGCCGUAACUUCGGGAGAAGGCACGCUGAUAUGUAGGUGAAGUGAUUUACUCAUGGAGCUGAAAUCAGUCGAAGAUACCAGCUGGCUGCAACUGUUUAUUAAAAACACAGCACUGUGCAAACACGAAAGUGGACGUAUACGGUGUGACGCCUGCCCGGUGCCGGAAGGUUAAUUGAUGGGGUCAGCGCAAGCGAAGCUCUUGAUCGAAGCCCCGGUAAACGGCGGCCGUAACUAUAACGGUCCUAAGGUAGCGAAAUUCCUUGUCGGGUAAGUUCCGACCUGCACGAAUGGCGUAAUGAUGGCCAGGCUGUCUCCACCCGAGACUCAGUGAAAUUGAACUCGCUGUGAAGAUGCAGUGUACCCGCGGCAAGACGGAAAGACCCCGUGAACCUUUACUAUAGCUUGACACUGAACAUUGAGCCUUGAUGUGUAGGAUAGGUGGGAGGCUUUGAAGUGUGGACGCCAGUCUGCAUGGAGCCGACCUUGAAAUACCACCCUUUAAUGUUUGAUGUUCUAACGUUGACCCGUAAUCCGGGUUGCGGACAGUGUCUGGUGGGUAGUUUGACUGGGGCGGUCUCCUCCUAAAGAGUAACGGAGGAGCACGAAGGUUGGCUAAUCCUGGUCGGACAUCAGGAGGUUAGUGCAAUGGCAUAAGCCAGCUUGACUGCGAGCGUGACGGCGCGAGCAGGUGCGAAAGCAGGUCAUAGUGAUCCGGUGGUUCUGAAUGGAAGGGCCAUCGCUCAACGGAUAAAAGGUACUCCGGGGAUAACAGGCUGAUACCGCCCAAGAGUUCAUAUCGACGGCGGUGUUUGGCACCUCGAUGUCGGCUCAUCACAUCCUGGGGCUGAAGUAGGUCCCAAGGGUAUGGCUGUUCGCCAUUUAAAGUGGUACGCGAGCUGGGUUUAGAACGUCGUGAGACAGUUCGGUCCCUAUCUGCCGUGGGCGCUGGAGAACUGAGGGGGGCUGCUCCUAGUACGAGAGGACCGGAGUGGACGCAUCACUGGUGUUCGGGUUGUCAUGCCAAUGGCACUGCCCGGUAGCUAAAUGCGGAAGAGAUAAGUGCUGAAAGCAUCUAAGCACGAAACUUGCCCCGAGAUGAGUUCUCCCUGAC
This 2801-nucleotide ribosomal RNA is filed under the name Escherichia coli. RNAcentral's name for it is "partial 23S ribosomal RNA". It matches the Rfam family "Bacterial large subunit ribosomal RNA". The record is from RNAcentral. Lineage: Bacteria; Pseudomonadati; Pseudomonadota; Gammaproteobacteria; Enterobacterales; Enterobacteriaceae.